GACGAACGCUGGCGGCGUGCUUAACACAUGCAAGUCGAACGGAAAGGCCCUUCGGGGUACUCGAGUGGCGAACGGGUGAGUAACACGUGGGUGAUCUGCCCUGCACUUUGGGAUAAGCCUGGGAAACUGGGUCUAAUACCGAAUAGGACCACGCGCUUCAUGGUGUGUGGUGGAAAGCUUUUGCGGUGUGGGAUGGGCCCGCGGCCUAUCAGCUUGGUGGUGGGGUAAUGGCCUACCAAGGCGACGACGGGUAGCCGGCCUGAGAGGGUGACCGGCCAAACUGGGACUGAGAUACGGCCCAGACUCCUCCGGGAGGCAGCAGUGGGGAAUAGUGCACAAUGGGCGGAAGCCUGAUGCAGCGAAGCCGCGUGGGGGAUGACGGCCUUCGGGUUGGAAACCUCUUUUCAUAGGGACGAAGCGCAAGUGACGGUACCUAUAGAAGAAGCACCGGCCAACUACGUG
Molecule: ribosomal RNA, 462 nt
Filed under: uncultured bacterium
Lineage: Bacteria
Description: partial 16S ribosomal RNA
Rfam family: Bacterial small subunit ribosomal RNA
Source: RNAcentral